Molecule: ribosomal RNA, 433 nt
Filed under: uncultured bacterium
Lineage: Bacteria
Description: partial 16S ribosomal RNA
Rfam family: Bacterial small subunit ribosomal RNA
Source: RNAcentral
AACGAACGCUGGCGGCAUGCCUAACACAUGCAAGUCGAACGAGACCUUCGGGUCUAGUGGCGCACGGGUGCGUAACGCGUGGGAAUCUACCCUCAGGUUCGGAAUAACUCAGAGAAAUUUGAGCUAAUACCGGAUGAUGACGUAAGUCCAAAGAUUUAUCGCCUGAGGAUGAGCCCGCGUAGGAUUAGGUAGUUGGUGAGGUAAAGGCUCACCAAGCCGACGAUCCUUAGCUGGUCUGAGAGGAUGAUCAGCCACACUGGGACUGAGACACGGCCCAGACUCCUACGGGAGGCAGCAGUGGGGAAUAUUGGUCAAUGGGCGAAAGCCUGAUCCAGCAAUGCCGCGUGAGUGAUGAAGGCCUUAGGGUUGUAAAGCUCUUUUACCCGGGAUGAUAAUGACAGUACCGGGAGAAUAAGCUCCGGCUAACUCCGUG